CUAUCAUGUGGAACUAGAAGAUAAACGCCUUGGUGCAACUAAAUCUCUAGGACAAGCUUUUAUAGCUGAGUCUAGCUUUGGGAAAGUUUCAGGCUUUAAGCGUAAGAAGAACUGGUUCAAAGGCGGGAAAGAGAAGGGAAAAGAAACUGGACAGGGACCUAAAAAGAACAAACACAAGCGCAAUAAGAAAGGUAAAUGGUUUGGAAAGAAGAAGAUAAGAGCAUGCUGAAAUGCUUCAACUGUCAGGUGCUGGGUCACUUUGCUCGGGAAUGCCUUAAGCCAAAGAAGGUAGCUCUUAUAAAUACUUCUUUUAGAGCUGUUUAUGUUUCAAGCACUGUUAUGCUAACCGAAUCUUAUCUUAUGUGGAUUGUAGACUCAGGAGCGAUAGACCAUGUUACCAGGGAUCGAGAAGCGUUUGUGGAGUUUCGUCGAUUUUCAGUUGGUACAAAGUGGAUAUAUGUCGACAACGAUGAUAGAAUGGAGGUGAAAGGGAUCGGUACAUGCAAGUUACAUUUGCAUGGUGACCGUACUAUUUUCCUUUAUGAUGUCCUGUUUGCACCGGGGAUACGAAGGAACUUAAUUCCCGUUGUUAUUCUUUUAAGAUUAGGUUUCAGUUUCAACUUUUGUGGUAAUUCUAUUCGUAUAAACAAUCGUGAUGUAUUUUAUAGAUUUGGACAUGUAGAAGGUGG
This 689-nucleotide long non-coding RNA is filed under the name Olea europaea subsp. europaea. The record is from RNAcentral. Lineage: Eukaryota; Viridiplantae; Streptophyta; Magnoliopsida; Lamiales; Oleaceae.